CACCUGGAACCUGGGCGCGCCAUGCGCUAUAUCAACGCCGUCGCGCGGGAGCGAUCCCGCAAGACUAUGGUGAUAAACACGGCUCGGGAUAAGCGUUGCGGACCCGGGGGCAGUGCCCGGCGCCUCCACCAGACACCGUUCUUGCGGCUUCCCUCCAGGGGAUUUGCCGCAGUGCGGCAAAUGGGGGCGAAACAGGCUCGACGCGCGUGGUAAUGGGGCCGCUUUUGCCCGGCAUGGUUCCGCCGUCAUCGGGCCAUCGAUAAGUGCGAACGAUAACGUCCGCGAGGACGUCGCACUCGCUGCCUGAAUAAGGUAAGCGCGGUUCGGGGGGCACCGGGCAACAGAAGCCCCCCACU
RNAcentral lists this transfer-messenger RNA (356 nucleotides) under Paracraurococcus lichenis. It matches the Rfam family "Alphaproteobacteria transfer-messenger RNA". From Rfam's summary of the family: Bacterial tmRNA, also known as 10Sa RNA or SsrA, is named for its dual tRNA and mRNA-like properties. Its role is to liberate the mRNA from a stalled ribosome. To accomplish this part of the tmRNA is used as a reading frame that ends in a translation stop signal. Lineage: Bacteria; Pseudomonadati; Pseudomonadota; Alphaproteobacteria; Acetobacterales; Roseomonadaceae. The record is from RNAcentral.